GAUGAACGCUGGCGGCGUGCCUAAUACAUGCAAGUCGAGCGAACGGACGAGAAGCUUGCUUCUCUGAUGUUAGCGGCGGACGGGUGAGUAACACGUGGAUAACCUACCUAUAAGACUGGGAUAACUUCGGGAAACCGGAGCUAAUACCGGAUAAUAUUUUGAACCGCAUGGUUCAAAAGUGAAAGACGGUCUUGCUGUCACUUAUAGAUGGAUCCGCGCUGCAUUAGCUAGUUGGUAAGGUAACGGCUUACCAAGGCAACGAUGCAUAGCCGACCUGAGAGGGGGAUCGGCCACCUGGGAACUGAGACACGGUCCAGACUCCUACGGGAGGCAGCAGUAGGGAAUCUGCCGCAAUGGGCGAAAGCCUGACGGAGCAACGCCGCGUGAGUGAUGAAGGUCUUCGGAUCGUAAAACUCUGUUAUGAGGGAAGAACAUAUGUGUAAGUAACUGUGCACAUCUUGACGGUACCUAAUCAGAAAGCCACGGCUAACUACGUG
RNAcentral lists this ribosomal RNA (497 nucleotides) under uncultured bacterium. RNAcentral's name for it is "partial 16S ribosomal RNA". It matches the Rfam family "Bacterial small subunit ribosomal RNA", at positions 28 to 507 of the family's 1533-position model. The record is from RNAcentral.